GAUGAACGCUAGCGGCAGGCUUAAUACAUGCAAGUCGAGGGGCAACAGGGGUAGCAAUACCUGCUGGCGACCGGCAAACGGGUGCGGAACACGUACAGAACCUUCCUUUAAGCGGGGGAUAGCCCAUAGAAAUGUGGAUUAAUACCCCAUAGUAAUACUGGCUGGCAUCACUAGAUAUUUAAAGAUUUAUCACUUAAAGAUGGCUGUGCGUCUGAUUAGGUAGUUGGNGUAGGUAAAGGCUCACCAAGCCAUCGAUCAGUAACUGGUGUGAGAGCACGACCAGUCACACGGGCACUGAGACACGGGCCCGACUCCUACGGGAGGCAGCAGUAAGGAAUAUUGGUCAAUGGACGCAAGUCUGAACCCAGCCAUGCCGCGUGGAGGAUGAAGGUCCUCUGGAUUGUAAACUUCUUUUAUCUGGGAA
This 424-nucleotide ribosomal RNA is filed under the name uncultured bacterium. RNAcentral's name for it is "bacterial SSU rRNA". It matches the Rfam family "Bacterial small subunit ribosomal RNA", at positions 28 to 446 of the family's 1533-position model. The record is from RNAcentral.